This is a long non-coding RNA of Epinephelus moara (kelp grouper), 631 nucleotides long. RefSeq lists it as uncharacterized. NCBI's taxonomy places the organism in Eukaryota, Metazoa, Chordata, Actinopteri, Perciformes, Serranidae. The transcript has 3 exons. The record is from RefSeq and is a predicted model, not a curated record.
ACAUAAGCGAUGCAAAUAAAAAAAGCCACAACGGAAGUGGAUUACCGGGGACUGUUUUUGCCGAUGCACCGGUGUUUUGUGAGAGGAGAAGAAGAAGACGAAGAAGAAGACGAAGAAAUAGAGAACGGAGAAACAAGAACAGGAAUACAAACUGGAAAACGAACAAGAAAGUCAUGUUUUGUCCAUUCUGUGGGGUGAACCUUCCAUCCGUCCUGGUAUAUUGUGGCUCAUGCUGUAGAAAUGUCAGGUUCCUAAGGAGUCUUCAAGAUGAAGAUUUGAUGGGAGCAAUUGUGGUUUCCCAGCAUCUGCCCAAACCCUGAACCACAUUACCAGCAUCAUGCCAGUGCCAGCAACUCCUGGUGAGGAUGAGCAUGAAACUCUCUUUGGAGAACUACAACGACAGAGUGGUCUAACAGCUCCUUUGCAGUGGGAAUCAGCUGUAGAGAACUACAUCACCCUGAAAAACAUGGCUGGUCUGUAAAACUUUAAGGGACAUAUUUGUGUUGUGACAACACCGAAACAAACUUUUUUAUGUGUAGUAUUUGCUGCAUGUUAUUUCCCUCUCUCUCCUGUCAUUUCCUGUCUCAAAUAAAGUUGUCUAUGCCUGACAAAAAAUCUUUGAAAAAAAGAA